GAUGAACGCUGGCGGCGUGCCUAAUACAUGCAAGUCGAGCGAACGGACGAGAAGCUUGCUUCUCUGAUGUUAGCGGCGGACGGGUGAGUAACACGUGGAUAACCUACCUAUAAGACUGGGAUAACUUCGGGAAACCGGAGCUAAUACCGGAUGAUAUUUUGAACCGCAUGGUUCAAAAGUGAAAGACGGUCUUGCUGUCACUUAUAGAUGGAUCCGCGCUGCACUAGCUAGUUGGUAAGGUAACGGCUUACCAAGGCAACGAUGCAUAGCCGACCUGAGAGGGUGAUCGGCAACACUGGAACUGAGACACGGUCCAGACUCCUACGGGAGGCAGCAGUAGGGAAUCUUCCGCAAUGGGCGAAAGCCUGACGGAGCAACGCCGCGUGAGUGAUGAAGGUCUUCGGAUCGUAAAACUCUGUUAUUAGGGAAGAACAUAUGUGUAAGUAACUGUGCACAUCUUGACGGUACCUAAUCAGAAAGCCACGGCUAACUACGUG
Molecule: ribosomal RNA, 497 nt
Filed under: uncultured bacterium
Lineage: Bacteria
Description: partial 16S ribosomal RNA
Rfam family: Bacterial small subunit ribosomal RNA
Source: RNAcentral